This 497-nucleotide ribosomal RNA is filed under the name uncultured bacterium. RNAcentral describes it as "partial 16S ribosomal RNA". It matches the Rfam family "Bacterial small subunit ribosomal RNA", at positions 28 to 507 of the family's 1533-position model. The record is from RNAcentral.
GAUGAACGCUGGCGGCGUGCCUAAUACAUGCAAGUCGAGCGAACAGACGAGGAGCUUGCUCCUUUGACGUUAGCGGCGGACGGGUGUGUAACACGUGGGUAACCUACCUAUAAGACUGGGAUAACUUCGGGAAACCGGAGCUAAUACCGGAUAAUAUUUCGAACCGCAUGGUUCGAUAGUGAAAGAUGGCUCUGCUAUCACUUAUAGAUGGACCUGCGCCGUAUUAGCUAGUUGGUAAGGUAACGGCUUACCAAGGCAACGAUACGUAGCCGACCUGAGAGGGUGAUCGGCCACACUGGAACUGAGACACGGUCCAGACUCCUACGGGAGGCAGCAGUAGGGAAUCUUCCGCAAUGGGCGAAAGCCUGACGGAGCAACGCCGCGUGAGUGAUGAAGGUCUUCGGAUCGUAAAACUCUGUUAUUAGGGAAGAACAAACGUGUAAGUAACUGUGCACGUCUUGACGGUACCUAAUCAGAAAGCCACGGCUAACUACGUG